UCAAAACUGAACCGAAAAUGCAAGACUUGCUUUAAUUGUUUUCCUUCAAUAUUUUCUUUCUGUACUAUUUACAAUAAUGGAACUCAUGUUAUUUACACUGUGCUAGAUCAAUACAUAUAAACACUGACAGAAAACAAUUAAAGCAAGUCUUGCAUUUUCGGUUCAGUUUUGA
Molecule: microRNA precursor, 172 nt
Filed under: Paramuricea clavata
Lineage: Eukaryota; Metazoa; Cnidaria; Anthozoa; Malacalcyonacea; Plexauridae
Source: RNAcentral